UGCAAGUCGAGCGAACAGAUGAGAAGCUUGCUUCUCUGAUGUUAGCGGCGGACGGGUGAGUAACACGUGGGUAACCUACCUAUAAGACUGGGAUAACUCCGGGAAACCGGGGCUAAUACCUGAUAAUAUUUUGAACCGCAUGGUUCAAUAGUGAAAGACGGCUUCGGCUGUCACUUAUAGAUGGACCCGCGCCGUAUUAGCUAGUUGGUAAGGUAAUGGCUUACCAAGGCGACGAUACGUAGCCGACCUGAGAGGGUGAUCGGCCACACUGGAACUGAGACACGGUCCAGACUCCUACGGGAGGCAGCAGUAGGGAAUCUUCCGCAAUGGGCGAAAGCCUGACGGAGCAACGCCGCGUGAGUGAUGAAGGUCUUAGGAUCGUAAAACUCUGUUGUUAGGGAAGAACAAAUUUGUUAGUAACUGAACAAGUCUUGACGGUACCUAACCAGAAAGCCACGGCUAACUACGUGCCAGCAGCCGCGGUAAUACGUAGGUGGCAAGCGUUAUCCGGAAUUAUUGGGCGUAAAGCGCGCGUAGGCGGUUUCUUAAGUCUGAUGUGAAAGUCCACGGCUCAACCGUGGAAGGUCAUUGGAAACUGGGGAACUUGAGUGCAGAAGAGGAGAGUGGAAUUCCAUGUGUAGCGGUGAAAUGCGCAGAGAUAUGGAGGAACACCAGUGGCGAAGGCGGCUCUCUGGUCUGUAACUGACGCUGAUGUGCGAAAGCGUGGGGAUCAAACAGGAUUAGAUACCCUGGUAGUCCACGCCGUAAACGAUGAGUGCU
This 780-nucleotide ribosomal RNA is filed under the name Staphylococcus sp. Y24-MSE-E14. Its description in RNAcentral is "bacterial SSU rRNA". It matches the Rfam family "Bacterial small subunit ribosomal RNA", at positions 56 to 817 of the family's 1533-position model. The record is from RNAcentral. Lineage: Bacteria; Bacillati; Bacillota; Bacilli; Caryophanales; Staphylococcaceae.